Molecule: long non-coding RNA, 204 nt
Filed under: Elaeis guineensis (African oil palm)
Lineage: Eukaryota; Viridiplantae; Streptophyta; Magnoliopsida; Arecales; Arecaceae
Description: long non-coding RNA (EGUI_LNC054689)
Source: RNAcentral
GAGGGGGGCUGAAAAAGUAACUAUUCAACCUUUGGAUAUGGGAAGGCUAGAGAAGUAGUUGAGGUACAUUUAGUGGUUCGACUGGUCGGGAGCCUUGGGGGUGAAUGAUGGAAAUAAAGGGUUUGAUUUUGGAGCAUUACUACUGGUUCAGAGGAUGGUGAGUUUCUUUGAGAGUUUCGGAGGGAUCUGUAGAGUACGGAGGGU